GGUCAGAUGUUUUUGACGUUUGUUGCAUUGCUUUUCUGUAAACAAAUAGAAUAAUAGUUCACGUCAUCCAGUUUUGUGGCAACAUUUUCAUCACAAAAAGAUUCCCAGAAUGACCGACGAAUUGUGCGACAAGAUCGAAAAUGAUGAGUUUUACAAAAACUUCCUCGGCGAAAAACCCAGUCCCGAGCUGCAGCUUACCGUGGCUAUCAGCGAUCAAAUCGCCAAACUAUCGGAAGGUAUCGAGCAACUGUCCAGUUCACUUCAAAAGCAAGUUCGAGAACAAUACGGUGCACUUUUAUCGCAAGCCAAACACGCCGGAACACUAAACGCAUCGAUUGAAUCCAUCUCGAGUCACAUCGAAACGCUUCGCUUCGGUGCCGAACGGUUACGCCGGCAGAUAACCGUUCCGUACGAUGUGCUUGAAACACAAACCAAGGUACUGGGACGAUUGCAUGAGGCAUCACACGUCCUGCGCCAGUGUGCCCGGUUCCUGCAGGUACACAAGGAGCUAAACAACACGACAGACCUCGCGGAGCAGGCUAGUAUCGUGAACGAGCUGGAAGGAUUGAUGGAAGAUGUGGAUCUCACCAAGAUAGAUUUUCUCCGUGAAGAGAUAAGCACCGUCAAGAAAGCGAAACAGCGGCUUCUAAAGGUCGCGAACCGGGAUCUUUUCGAGGGCAUACUGAAAAGCAAACCCGAUCAGGUCGGUGUAUGUGUACGCAUUUUUCACAAUCUAAAAAUUUUACCCAAAUGCCUUAACAACGUGCUGGAAACGUUCAGUAACUAUCUAAAGGAUGCGGUAAAAGAAUCCUUCGCCGGGACAGAUGUUGCCAAGCUCCGUAAAACGGGUGCUUCGUCUCCGGCAAAGGAACGGCACGAAUCACGCCAACUGAAAGCACCCGGAAAAGCACCGGCGCUUACCAACUCCUCCAACUUCCGCACAAAACUUUGGCAAGCGCUGGAAUGGUUGUUCCUUGAUGAAAUGUACGGUCACUGUACACAGGUGCUGUUUUUGCAAAAGUGUCUUCUCGAAUUACCACUGGGCGAUGAAUACAUGCUAGCGAAAGAGUUUGAUCGCAAAUUUUGGAACAAUCUAGAAAAACAGCUGGUGAGUUCGUUCAAAGCGGCCCAAUCCCACGUGACACAGACGCUUCAGCAGGGCCUUCCGAAACUGCUAUCGCUUGCCCGUGGUUUGGAAACCAAAAUCGAUCAACAUUUUACAUUCAGCGAGAAAGUGUUCGGUUCGCUUGAGGCUGGCUAUCUGGAAAAGUGUGCCAACAACUUUAAGGUCGCGCUGGCAGAUAUCGAUUUUCCGAACCAAGAAGUAAUCGAUUCACUGGUCCGUGUUGCAUCAACCGAGCUAAAUGCGGCCAUUGUUGAUCCACGCCUAAUCGGACUUGUGACGGGUGUGCUGUGUGUGUCGAACAAGGAUCUGUGGAAUAAAAUCGAACGCAAUGUAAAGCUUGGGUCCGAAACACAGCAAGUCCUUGACAACCCGAAUGUAUCGCAAUCACAAAACAUUACACUCGCUAAUGUGAUCCACUAUCACCAUGAAGCUAUCAACCGGUUGGUGUCACAUUUAGGAACCAAGUUUUCUGCACUGGACGCAUCGAAACGAUUGACGUCAAGUCUCGUUGAAGGCAAGACUAUCACGAUGGCUAUCUUACAACCACUGAUCGCUUCCAUCAAUUCGGCGGUCAACGUAAUCCUUCUCUCCAUGCACCGUGAACCUGGCUUGAAUUCGAGCAACAUUUCCACCACUGGUCCGUCGCUGUACAUGAAAGAAUUGCAAGAUUUUAUCGUUCGCUCCUGGAACACACACAUUCUACCGUUCAACGAUCGUGCAGUGAUCGAGGAAGCUGGUCGCAACCUAGCCAUCCGGUGUAUUGAACUGUUCGUACAAAAUUUGGCAACAAUUCGACCGAUUUCAUUCGCAGGUCGGCAACGGCUCAAAGCCGACUGUCACCAUCUCGAAGGUGCACUAAAACCGAUCGUUGCGGAUCUUUCCUCGUUGGGGAAAAGUUUCCGUUUGCUUCGUGCGAUCGCGUCACUGUUUACCGCCACACCGCAGGAGCUGGUUGAGCAGACCGUCGAGGAGGGUGGAGUUGUACCGCCGUACAUCGUACUGUUUAUGCUGUUUGGACACGCUGGUAACGAUAUGGCAAGUCCGCACGUAACAGCCGGCUGGGGCAAUGAGAAGCUGCUGCAAUGGUUAGAAAGUCAUUCCGCGGAAAGGGAACGCUUGGAGCUGAUAACGGGUGCGCUCCAGAAGUACCGAUCAGUAAUUCGUCAAAAGAACAUUACGCAAUACGAUCCUGUUUAUCCGAUCGUAACGAGCUACUUGGAGAAUGUGGCCAAACACUUGAAUUAGUAUUUCAGGCUGAACAUCAUCCGAAAGCUGUCUGGCAGAAGAUUUUGUGCGGGUCACGGCAAGUGCAUAGAUCAGACAAGUUUUACUAACGCAUUGGAUAACACUUCCAUUGAGCCAAGAAGACACUCAAGCCCUUAUCCGUAUGCUUGGCGCUGGUGGAUAGCCCACAGCAUACUGUUGAUCAUUAAAGGAGGAUUUUGGAUCUCGUUGUUUAUAAUUGUGGUACUGUUUAAAGCAUUCCCAGCCAAACAUGGCUGCAGUUCACCCAUCAUAUUAGAAGAGCCUCCAGUAUUUGAUCAUCAUCAUUCUUCAACCGGUUGGGGACGUCAAAUCAAUCUCUGGAAGUCACUGCCAGACUGGCAACUUUAUUGGAAAGAUAGACUUGAAAGAGGGGAAAAAAUAAAUAAAGGUAAUUCAGGCGAUUACUCUUAAAC
Molecule: RNA transcript, 2805 nt
Organism: Anopheles funestus (African malaria mosquito)
Lineage: Eukaryota; Metazoa; Arthropoda; Insecta; Diptera; Culicidae
Gene: fws
Gene name: conserved oligomeric Golgi complex subunit 5
Exons: 7
Source: RefSeq, a predicted model, not a curated record